GAUGAACGCUGGCGGCGUGCCUAAUACAUGCAAGUCGAGCGAACAGACGAGGAGCUUGCUCCUCUGACGUUAGCGGCGGACGGGUGAGUAACACGUGGAUAACCUACCUAUAAGACUGGGAUAACUUCGGGGAAACCGGAGCUAAUACCGGAUAAUAUAUUGAACCGCAUGGUUCAAUAGUGAAAGACGGUUUUGCUUUCACUUAUAGAUGGAUCCGCGCCGCAUUAGCUAGUUGGUAAGGUAACGGCUUACCAAGGCAACGAUGCGUAGCCGACCUGAGAGGGUGAUCGGCCACACUGGAACUGAGACACGGUCCAGUCUCCUACGGGAGGCAGCAGUAGGGAAUCUUCCGCAAUGGGCGAAAGCUUGACGGAGCAACGCCGCGUGAGUGAUGAAGGUCUUCGGAUCGUAAAACUCUGUUAUUAGGGAAGAACAAAUGUGUAAGUAACUAUGCACGUCUUGACGGUACCUAAUCAGAAAGCCACGGCUAACUACGUG
RNAcentral lists this ribosomal RNA (498 nucleotides) under uncultured bacterium. Its description in RNAcentral is "partial 16S ribosomal RNA". It matches the Rfam family "Bacterial small subunit ribosomal RNA", at positions 28 to 507 of the family's 1533-position model. The record is from RNAcentral.